This 301-nucleotide ribosomal RNA is filed under the name Aplanochytrium sp. PBS07. RNAcentral describes it as "partial Bacterial large subunit ribosomal RNA". It matches the Rfam family "Bacterial large subunit ribosomal RNA", at positions 687 to 985 of the family's 2925-position model. The record is from RNAcentral. Lineage: Eukaryota; Bigyra; Thraustochytrida; Thraustochytriidae.
AUUGGGUGUUUAGUGGCAUGUCCUGGACCCGAAGCGGGGUGAUCUACCCAUGGCCAGUGUGAAGCAGCUGUAAGAGGUUGUGGAGGCGCGAACCCACGUAGGUUAAAAACUGCGGGGAUGAGUUGUGGGUAGGGGUGAAAGGCCAAUCAAACUCCGUGAUAGCUGGUUCUCCCCGAAAUGCAUUUAGGUGCAGCGUUGUAUGAGCUUGCCGGAGGUAGAGCUACUGGUUGGUUGAGCGGGACUAUCAUCUUAGCAACAUCAGCCAAACUCCGAAUGCCGGUUGAAGUGUUGUACAGCAGUG